ACCUUUCUAGUAUACUAAUUACAAUUGACUUCCAAUCACUAAAAUCUGGCACAANCCCAGAGAAAGGUA
This 69-nucleotide transfer RNA is filed under the name Aptornis otidiformis (North Island adzebill). Its description in RNAcentral is "tRNA-Gly". The record is from RNAcentral. Lineage: Eukaryota; Metazoa; Chordata; Aves; Gruiformes; Aptornithidae.